Molecule: ribosomal RNA, 399 nt
Filed under: Lachnellula occidentalis
Lineage: Eukaryota; Fungi; Ascomycota; Leotiomycetes; Helotiales; Lachnaceae
Description: partial 18S ribosomal RNA
Rfam family: Group I catalytic intron (bases 84-359)
About the family: Group I catalytic introns are large self-splicing ribozymes. They catalyse their own excision from mRNA, tRNA and rRNA precursors in a wide range of organisms.
Source: RNAcentral
AGAAGUAAAAGUCGUAACAAGGUUUUGUGAGAACAGACACCCUUCCCAGGGAGCGUUCGGAAGCCUGUGCAGCCCUGAAGAGGGUCCGCGACUCUAAAUAACGGAUGCAAGUAGCGGAAGCUGCAACAUGAUCGAAUUGCGGGGACGUCCUAAAGCCUAGCGGUACCAACACUCGGGGGAAACCCCGGGUGGGCCUGUGCUAAUCACACGGGAGGUAAGAACCCACUAGGAUGUGCCAAUGGAUGAUCCGCAGCGAAGCCCCUACCGGCGCAAGCCCACGGGGAACGUCCACAGACUAAGUGGUUAUGGGUAGAGCACGCUCUGCUUAAGAUAUAGUCGGUCGCCCGGGAAACUGGCGCGGUUAUACGUUCCGUAGGUGAACCUGCGGAAGGAUCAUUA